CAGCAGAGACGACGGUAGUGCAGGUCGAGGUGCAUUCCAAUCCGUUCGAAAAUUUGCUUCGUAUUCACAUGAAUAAUAUUGUAAACCGUUAAGAGUUCAGCUCAGACAGUAUCUACCAUUAACGUAGUAUAUAUCCUCUUCAUAUAUUCCUCUAUAUAUCCAACACAAACCCAUUCUGAAUAAUAGGUAAUAAAACAUUCGAAGUAGACGAAGACUCGAAACAAUGAGCAGUGAAGCGGUUGGCCAACGUCGUAAUGGAACAGUCCCGAGUCUAAGGCAACAGUCUACUGGAGGAAACACACCAAGCAAGUCGACAAGGCGGCCGGAAUGUUGAAGAAAUUUAGUUGCCAAUCGUCAAACUAUUUCGUCAAGGCUCAGGUGAGCUACUUGCUGCACCUCCUGGAACCACUACAGAUAUUCGAUUUUUAUGGAUGGUACAGGCUGGACUACAGCACCCUGGUGGGGGUGGUGAACCUGAUGGUGACCUACCUGGUGAUCCUGGUGCAGGUUGGUGACCAACCCCUCAACCGCCAGGCUUAACGCACCACCAAUGCCACCACCUAUACCUGGACUACAAUGCUUACUAUAAUUACUCCUAGAUGUAUGCGUAUAAUAAAUUAUAUAUCAAUAAAUGUACUGUAGAGUAUUUCACUCACUGUUGUGUAAACAAUUCAAAUUUACUCAUCGUUAGUCCAAAUUUUCUCACCAGUGCGAUUCUGUUCGUCUAGCUGACUAUGUGAAUGAAGUAAAAAAAAUAAUUGUUAGAUUCAUUAUAAUUUGUUGAAUUUUCAGAUAAAUAUUCAAUUUUCUAAGCUUGUAAAACAAACAGAUAUGCCGCCCGACGGUGUAUCUUAAUUAAGAACCUGGACAGGGAAGACUACGUCGCUUAUGUCCCGAGGCCACUGUCUCUCACUGUCAAAAAAUUCUUAAAUUACCCUUGUGUGAAGGAUCAGUGUAUCAGAGUCUUAUAAAUUAUAGUUUUUAGAAUGUUUAUUUCCGGGUUAUGGAUAUGGUGGUUUUUUUCAGAAUUAAUCAAUAUGUCAACAAUGAGCCAAGUUUGCUCCUGUAUUUGAACAUUUUAACCAGAUUAUAUGGUCCUUUUAGAUAAUAAAUCUGGUGUGUAUCUUUACUUUCUAUGUUUACAAGAUGACAAGAUGAUGGGGCGUAUAUAUCAUUUGUGUUUUGUUAUUAUAUUGAAAUUUAUGUAUCUAUACUUGUCCCUGUAUCUGUACCUGCACAGUAUAUGUAAGUCCACAUGUUCUAUUCCUUGUGCAUUAAACUAAUUGAAAGAAUAAAAUUUGA
Homarus americanus (American lobster) is the source of this 1302-nucleotide RNA transcript. RefSeq lists it as uncharacterized. Lineage: Eukaryota; Metazoa; Arthropoda; Malacostraca; Decapoda; Nephropidae. The record is from RefSeq and is a predicted model, not a curated record. The transcript has 4 exons.